GACGGGAAAGACGAACUUCAGUACGGUUGGUUUGGCCAUCUGGUCGCGGGUUAUGCUGAAGCUCCAAACCGGACGAGUGCGGGUCAAGACGGUACACGGCCCGAGCGGUAUGUUCGGCCCGAUCGAUGGACUGAACCUCAGUUGCGUUGUUCCGGACGUUCUGAUCCUCGUUCUGAUCUGAAUCCAUGGACUGAUCCUCGGACUGGGGC
Molecule: long non-coding RNA, 209 nt
Filed under: Brassica napus (rape)
Lineage: Eukaryota; Viridiplantae; Streptophyta; Magnoliopsida; Brassicales; Brassicaceae
Description: long non-coding RNA (BNAP_LNC025377)
Source: RNAcentral